GACGAACGCUGGCGGCGUGCUUAACACAUGCAAGUCGAACGAUGAAGCCUAGCUUGCUAGGUGGAUUAGUGGCGAACGGGUGAGUAAUACGUGAGUAACCUACCUUUAACUCUGGGAUAAGCCCUGGAAACUGGGUCUAAUACCGGAUACGACCAAUCUCCGCAUGGGGUGUUGGUGGAAAGCGUUAUGUAGUGGUUAUAGAUGGGCUCACGGCCUAUCAGCUUGUUGGUGAGGUAACGGCUCACCAAGGCGACGACGGGUAGCCGGCCUGAGAGGGUGACCGGCCACACUGGGACUGAGACACGGCCCAGACUCCUACGGGAGGCAGCAGUGGGGAAUAUUGCACAAUGGGCGCAAGCCUGAUGCAGCGACGCCGCGUGAGGGAUGACGGCCUUCGGGUUGUAAACCUCUGUUAGCAGGGAAGAAGAGAGAUUGACGGUACCUGCAGAGAAAGCGCCGGCUAACUACGUG
RNAcentral lists this ribosomal RNA (471 nucleotides) under uncultured bacterium. RNAcentral's name for it is "partial 16S ribosomal RNA". It matches the Rfam family "Bacterial small subunit ribosomal RNA", at positions 28 to 507 of the family's 1533-position model. The record is from RNAcentral.